GAUGAACGCUAGCGGCAGGCUUAACACAUGCAAGUCGAGGGGUAUAGUAGCAAUACUAGAGACCGGCGCACGGGUGCGUAACGCGUAUGCAAUCUACCUUUCACAGAGGGAUAGCCCAGAGAAAUUUGGAUUAAUACCUCAUAGUAUAGUAUCUUGGCAUCAAGGAACUAUUAAAGUCACAACGGUGAAAGAUGAGCAUGCGUCCCAUUAGUUAGUUGGUAAGGUAACGGCUUACCAGGACUACGAUGGGUAGGGGUCCUGCGAGGGAGAUCCCCCACACUGGUACUGAGACGCGGACCAGACUCCUACGGGAGGCAGCAGUGAGAAAUAUUGGACAAUGGGCGCAAGCCUGAUCCAGCCAUGCCGCGUGCAGGAUGACGGUCCUAUGGAUUGUAAACUGCUUUUGUACAGGAAGAAACACCCCGACGUGUCGGGACUUGACGGUACUGUAAGAAUAAGGAUCGGCUAACUCCGUGCCAGCCGCCGCGGUAA
This 492-nucleotide ribosomal RNA is filed under the name uncultured bacterium. RNAcentral's name for it is "partial 16S ribosomal RNA". It matches the Rfam family "Bacterial small subunit ribosomal RNA", at positions 28 to 523 of the family's 1533-position model. The record is from RNAcentral.